Long non-coding RNA from Gallus gallus (chicken), 7943 nucleotides. RefSeq lists it as uncharacterized. The record is from RefSeq and is a predicted model, not a curated record. Lineage: Eukaryota; Metazoa; Chordata; Aves; Galliformes; Phasianidae. The transcript has 16 exons.
AAUGCACCUGUAAAAUUAGUAUCCCCUAGUAUUCUGCAGGAGCCAUAAAAUGUAAUGCUCUUUGUGUGCAGCAAUCUAAAGCUUGACAUGGGUAAUGUUACAUGGCAUUCACUUGCAGCCUCUGAUGGCUGCACCAAUUUCUGCUAGGAAAGGAAGAGGACUGAAGUCAUCUUGGAAGGCUUAUUCCAAAUUCAUCUCUACUUUGCUGUGAAAGGAAUAAACGGAGCAUAUGAUGCCUGGAUCCUAAUCUCAGAGCACUCUAUCUAACCAGUGAUGAAUCACAAAGCUGAAACAACAAUGAAUACGAGACAGACCGGCAAGAAUAAAACCAUCAUCUCAAUACUUAUGGGAAACAGAAGAACAUGGAGAUUUUGCAAUUUGAGCUGAGCCAGGCAGGAGCUCUUUGGCAGAAGAAGAGGCCUCCCGAGGGAUAAACACAAUCCAGAAGAUGACUGCAGAGGGAAAUGUGACCUGCAUGCACAGUCUCCACUAUGAAGCAAACUGUUGCUGGACACGUACGCCUCUUUAGUUCCCACGCCACACAACAACAGCACUGGGAUAGGAUGCUCCAUGGGAGACAGCAGCUUGUAAAAGCAGUCGGGGUCUACCAGAAAACACCACAAUAAACACCACAAAACACAAGAAGGAGCCCGCCAGCUGCAGAAAGCCAGCAACAGGAUCAAAAGAGAAAUGUCCCAGGUACAAACAAGUGUAGAGCCAGGAAGAAUGACAUGACUGCAGCCAGGAAAACCUAUAAUGUCUGCACGGGCUAAGAGCUGGACUUAGGAGUUUGGCAGCAGCCUCCCCAGGAAUGAGCUGAGGACAUCAAGCAACUCCCUGCUCCCAGCUGCUGGGUGCCACCAGAGCUAUUUCAGAUCUUCAGCAAGAAUCAUGGAGGAAUGGUGCAGGAAAAGCUAUCCUGAAGAUGUUACUUCCUAGGCAUACAAGAGAUGGGGCUAUUCACACCACAGCAAAUGGGAAGGGGAAGAAAACGUGGAGAGAUUUAGUCCAGUUCUGUUGGCAUCAAGUGGACAUGUUUAUUACAGCUGGCAGAGAGGUCCCAGCUUCAGACAGUUGUCUGCCAUCUGCUUUGGCCAGACACCAAGACGCUAGCAAUUGGCUGGCAUUGCUGCCAUGAGCAAAGACAGAGUUGACACCUUUCACCUCUGGAGAAGGUUGGAACAACAGGCAUCUAGCUGAAAUCCCAUGUCACCAACUAGAAGCAAAAUACACCUUUCAAUCAGCACAUGGUCAGUGUCAAUGGGACUCAGCAUCUGCUGGAGUGGAAGACUGUACCCCAGUGGAUGGUAACAAAUCUGAAAGCCCCUACACAGUGAUAUUUCAUCACACUGCCCAUCCAGAAUUUCUUACAGGGCAUCCAGUCCAUAGCCACUUCAUCAACUGAUUCAUAGAUACCAAAUGCUGACACAAUACCUUAAAGAGAAAUGUUGACUGUUUUCCACAGGCAGUUUCCUGCAGUCUCGGAGAAGCUCUACUCAACAUUUCUUUUGAGAUUCGAAGGAAUUUGAUGAACAUUUUGCUGUUGCCCAUUUCUGACUAUUCUGAUUUCAGCAGGGACUGGAGGAGCACUUGAUGAGUAUGGCUUUUUUGUUAUUUACAGCCUUGUCAAAACGAUGAAGUAGCAGGAAUCUCCUUGGAGAGCAAUGUAUCACAACAGUUUUCAAGACAGUUUCCAAAUCGAAGAUGACUUCCAAGGAACAGCAAGGAUGUAAUCUUGGAGCCAAUCAAACCAGUGGCAAAAAUCCCACUUUCUGCAUGAUCUUCUUAAUGCAGCCUCUGACAUUUUGGAGCUUCAUAUAUUAUGGUUAAAAGGUAGUGUCCAAAUUCAGCAUCUGUGAGCCUCACAGAGGCAAGAUCCUAAGAAGUAGUGAUGAAAAAUGUCUAUUUUAAAAACAAAUAUCUCUAUUUAUAAUGACACCAAAGGAAAAGUGGAGAAUUCAGUACUUAAUACUGACACCUGCCACUUGCAAAAUCUCUCCACUGCUUGAAACAAGUUUUGUGAGAGUUUGGAAAAUUUUGAUCACUCAUUUUUUCCUCCUUUGCUUCCAUUUUGCUCACUGGUAGGGCUGUCCAAUAACAGCACUGACGUUGCUGAAAUGUCAUGAUGAACUUUGCUCAUGCACUAGUUCCAGGUGAGAUGGGAGUAGUUAUAAUUCUUAACAAAACAAAACAAAAGAAGUAUUUGCCAAUGUUUUUGGAUAUAGUUGUUAUGUCCCAGGCACAGAGAUUAGUCAGAGCAUCCAUAAAUAUCACUGUCAUUGAAAUCUGAUAUCCAAACCCUUCACUCCAAAUGCCCACCGGCUGUGAAAACCCUGCUGAGCUUUGGCCACUGGGCUGUAAACUCCUUCUGGGUUUUUCUCCAUGCUGGCACAAAGACUGGGGGUCCCUGCCAGUGCAGUAGGGUGAGCAUUUCAGGAGGGGAAGCAAGAGGCACAUUCUACACAGUGGAUUGCCUGAUGAGAAAAAGCUCCCAUUGUGUAUCAUAUUGCACAGGCCAUCUCCCAGGCUUCAUUCCUGUUGUCAGCCUCUGGUCACUGCAGUAGAGGAGGGUCAGUGUAGAAGGUUACAGAGCAGCUGUGGAGGCUGGUGUGCCAGACAGUACAAGUAUCAUAAAUGGCCAGGUUAAAUUUUACUCUUUCUUGAGUAUCUCUGUUAGAAACUGAGCUAAACAGUGUCUCGGUCCCAACACAUACAGAAGUUUUGAUGCUAUCACAUAAAGAAAAUCCAGUUUCUUGGAGGAAACUUGAGACAAAAGAGGCAACCCAAGAUAUUUACCAAUUUACACUAAAUUAAUGCAAACAGAACCAGUGCUCUUUACAGUAAAUCUAUUGCUGCUGAGUUUUACUAGAAUUAACUGAUAUUCCUACUUGCCUAAUAUCUAGCUGGUAGGCUUGGUGAGGGUUUUUUCCAUUGAUGCCUUUUGGUGAAGGAGAAGGCGUUCUUCAAUGGAUUAAAGUAUUUUGCAUCCAGAAAUGUUUUGUUUCAUCGAAAGGUUUAGAGUUUUCAGUAGGAAAAAGCUAGGAAUUAUUUUGAGUCAUAAUUUUCUUCCGUAUUCCACUCACCUAUCACCUCACACUACUACAGAAGUAGCAUAUUAACUGAAGCAAGAGAAUCCAUCCAUUUCAUCAACAGCUUUCCUAGGGGAGAGAAGUAGACCCUAGUUACUUCCAUCAUUUACUACUUAUGCUUAAAGCUGGCUUUAAUCCAGCUCUGAAUUCCACAGGUGGCUGUUUUGCAGCAUCCCAGAACCACAUGGGUCUGGACUCUGAGUUGAAUUCAUACGUGGAGCAGACCGUGUCAACUCAACACUAUGCAUUAGUAAUAACAAUAUUUUUAUUACCUAUUGGAACCUAUAUAAACAUCAAAUUAGCUCAUUUGAGCUGGAAACACCACCAACAGUGAUUGUCUUAGAGAGUGUAGCAGAAAUGUUAAAUCAUGGCCUGAACCAGUGAUUGAGCACCUGGUAGGAAGGCAGGGCCAGCCCAGGGAAGCUCAGGUACAUGCAAUGUUCUUGAGUGACCAGAAGGGCUGGAGCCAGGAUCCACCCCUUCCCAGACCUCAUUUAAGGGUUGGCAGUGGAGGCAAGGGGAUCUUGCUGGAGAUCCCUGCCUACUGGAUGCCUUCCAAAGGCUUAGGGACAGCAGACCCAGUGCCCUGAAGGUACUACAGGCAACAUGGCUCUCAUCCAAAUUUUGGGCACCGAUAAUCAGCUCUUAUCCUAUCAGCUGAAGUGAAUCAAGGUGGGAGGAGGUGAAGCAAUUGGAACGGGCAGUUUUUAAGGCUGCGCUGAGUAUAAGGGGAGUUAAGUGGAGAUAUGCCCCAAACAGAACCAGUGGACCUGGUGUCACACCUAACAGUUGUGUGAAGCAGCGCCCUAUCCCCUGGUAUUGCCAGGAGGAGCCGUGGAAGGAGGAAAUUCAAAGAGGAGGUAUGGCAUGGUCCUUGCCCAGUACCCUUCUUGCUCCAGGCAGUCUGUGGUUUAUGGACUUCCCAAAGCAGAGGCUGCCUCCAGACCAGUGUGUUUUAAUAGCCACCCAUGGAUCUAUCCUCCUUGAAUUUUUUUUGAUCCUUUUCUCAAGCCAUUUAUAACUUCUGGCCUCCGCAACAUCCUGUGGCAACGAGUUCCACAAUUUAAUUAUGCUUUGCAUGGAAAAAGUACUUCCUUGUGUUGGUUUAAAUCUUCUUGCGUGAAUGUUUUGUUGGGUCCCCUCUACUUCUUACAAGAAGCCACAGACAACUAUUUCCUAUUUGCCUGUUUCUGUGUCAUUCAUAAUCAAACAGAUGUUGAGUGUAUUUCCUGCCUUUAUCAUCCCCUUCCAUCCUGGAAACUCACCUCUUUCAUUUCUCAGCUGUAUGGAAGCUGUUUUCCACCUCUCCUCAUCCUGGGUGCUUUUCAGCUCAACCACCCUUCUGGAGGCCAGAAAACCCACUAUUGUCACGACGCAGUUUCACUGAUGAUUGCUAGAGUGGUGGAGUUCUAUUUUGCUCCUGCUGCUUUUCCAGUUACAGGACAGCGACCUGAGGAGAGAAGGAAGCCAAGCAAGGUGCACUGAAGAUGGGCCAAGGCCUACAUCCUAUGGAAACUCUUGGGAUAGAUGAAAUCCCACCACUGAUUGACACCUAUCUUCUUUAUCUUCUUUAGCACUUAGCCUCUAAAACUUGGUGGAAAUUCACAAGUCUGGAAGUGGUCGUUGCAUUCUUGAGUAAGAUGCCGUCCAUUUUACAACCGGCAUUUGUCUGUAGGUUCCACAAUGGCUCUUUUAUUUAAAUGCUCACUCCUUGCCUAAGGAUUAUUGACUGGAGCCUUUCAUUCCUGACAUCACCCAGUUUCUCCAUGCUGACCAGCUGUGUGUGGAGAAGCAGACUCAGAAGAUGGCUACUCCGGGGUCAGCACUGCCAGCCAGCUGCUUAUUCUUGCAUGGGAUAUCCGCCUACUCCUUGCAAAAGCAGUGCCUGGGUGACCCAUCUGCUAAUGCAGAGGGGCGCUUCUGAGGCCGAGCAGUUGCAUGGCCUGGCAGAAAUACAUUUUGGGGAGUGCACAGCUUAUGUUCACACACAAGAAAGAACUUUACAGCACCAGGCACUUAGAUGUCCUUCACGCCUUCACCUCUCUAAGGAAUACCCUUUCUGAGCCAUCCUGUGCUAACCUGGACAUUAGAAUGGAAUGCAGACAAACAUACAUAGCAACUUGUCCCCUCUGAUUUACCCAAAGUCAUUUCAUUUCUUUGUGUUCACCUGCAUUACUUUGAUCCAAGCAUUCAUUUCUUAGGCAGAAACUUUUUAUACACAUACAAUCUUUUUUUUUUUUUCCCCUUGAUAAAAAAAAUCUAAUAUCCUUCUCCCAGCCUAUGGAUGUCUGCUGAGAGUCCAUGGGUAUGAUUCCUAUAAGGCCAUUGCUGCUUGAGUGGGAAAGAAUGCACAGCAGUAAGGUAUCCUCAGGUUUCCAAACCACCUAGAAGUUUAGUAUGGUCUCAUUCUUCCAAAACACAAGUUCUGUCAACUAGAACAACAGCAACAAAAAAAAAAACCCUACAAGUUUAUUAUCUCCCAGCAUUAAAACACAGCCAUCUUUUUAUGAUGACCACACAACACUCCUGCAGACAUGACCAAUCAUUAGUUUUGCCUGACGAUCAGACCUACUCACCUGUCAGCCUAGCUGGCUUGCUGAUGGAAAUGCUGCUUCUCUGAGGGCCCAAACAGAGGCUUCAAGUGAAAGAGAGAAUGAGAAUUUGGCACAUAACCCUGAAAAGCCCCAGUACAACACUGGGGCUUCUUGGCACAAGUCACCAGUUUCAGCACCAGAGACUGCUGUGUCUGUAAGGUCAGGCCUAUUUCCCUCACCGUGCCCUGUGAGCUCCUCUAGCAAGCUCCAUCUUAAGUAAGGAAAUUGUUUGUGCUUGUAAUCACCAGUAGUUAGCAAGCCUUUUUCUAAUUUCAGCCUAUGUCCAUCCACAGCAGGUUGUAUUACCACUUCUUGUACCAGUGCAUGCCUUUCCCUAGAGAGCUCUUCUCAACCUUCCUUAAUUUUUAGCUAUGACAUAUUUAUAGGCAGAAAUUCUGGUCGCUGCCUUUCUCUGCUAACCCCUCCCACUGUCCCCUCUGUUGGCAGGCCCUGUUGUCCUUGACCACCUUGGUAACAUUUCUGCUAUUGCUCCUGCAUCAGCUCAUCUCUUUUGUUUCUCAGUGAUGAAAGAAGUGCACAACAUUGAAGCUGAACGCUCAUCUGUGCCUGGUGCACUAUCCCUGUCUGAUUUGCUCGCUACGACUGCAUUUCCCUUUUCAUGGCUACAGCAUAGUUGUGGCUCAAAGUCACCCUGUGAUUAGAGUACAUCGAAGUCUUCUUCCUCCCCGAGCAGCUUUAAGUGCAUGGCUCAUACUGAAUGUUUUCUUAGUAACAAUACCCAGCUCUGCGGUGAUCUGCAUGAGCUAUGGGUCUGGGCCCCUUCUCCAGAAGAGUCAGACUUUGCCAGCUGACACCAGCUGCAGAACCAGUUCUCAGUAUUCAGUGCACUUGGGGAGAAAGAAACAAGUAGUAAACCAAAGACAAACAGAGCUACAGUCAAACGUAUUAUAACACUACCAACCAAGACAGCUGCUUCUGCCAACAUGGAAACAAGAUAGGAACUAGAGUGUUUCUAUUUUUGCAUUCAAAUAGAAACAGAUGGAGAGGACUUGGGGAAUUUAUCAAACCAAAUAAAUAUUUUUCAUUUUAAAAUUUGAAUGGAAUGGAAAUUAUAAUCUGCCACUGUUACCAUGGAGCUGAAUAUUGUCCUUCCCCUCAUCCGGCCUUUAGCAGUAAGGAGUUGGUUGCGGCAGGGCUGGAGUUUUGCAGUUUUCUUCCUCACCCAACCCAGCUCUCUCCUUUGAAUUACACUGCCUGGUUACCGACUGCAGAAAGAAGAGUCAGGUUUUGCAAUAUUUUUUUUAUGGAUUGCUAGCUGAAAAAUGAGAACAAAAUGAACUUCUGGAUAGCAGGCACCACUGUUUUUCACUAUUCUUACCUAAGUUAAAGCAGUGAACCUCCACUUCCAAACUGAGAGGAGCCAAAGUGCCCAACUUCAGACCUUCCUGUGUGCCAGCUCCAAGCCAGUGGGAUGACUGGGAGGCUGGAGCCACACCAAAGCUGGGGAUUUUGAGCCAGAUUGCUGCCACCACCUUCUUAUCUCAGACCAAGAGCACCUGAGGCUGCCUAAAACCUGCUAGAAACAGCCCAGUGAGGUGGAGCACUUUCUUGCAAUGACUUACAGAAUGUCACAGCCAAAUCCAAAAAGUGUUUUAAAAGUGAGGAUGCAGUACAAAUGGAACAAACUUGGUCAUUAACUCUGGAUAUUCCACUGCCUCAAGAGUAGAACCUCUCUGCUUGGUCAAAUAGGUAAUAAAAUAGAUUAACAGAUAAUCUAAGAGGCUCUCCAUUGCCUUUUUUUUUUUUAAACUGUUUCCAGUAAACAGCCCCAUGCCUGUAAAUAUUUUAGAACAGGAAAAUAUUUAGUGACCCAGGUACUGAAAGGGCUGCCAUUAACCCUGCAAUAGACUUUUGCAUCCGCAAAUGCCCCUGAAAACAAAUGGAUUAGACUAAUUGCAUUCAUUCAGAUUAGCAAACAGCCCGAUAAGCCAGGACCGUGGUCCAUAAUGGCACAAUGCCCUUGGAGACUCCUUUCCUAGGACUGUAUCAGCAGUGCUACACACUGCAGGCAUCACACAAGUGUGCUGCUGCCAUUAAACUCCUGUUCUUUAAGAGCUUAAGAGGCCGAUUCAAACAUUUUUUCCUUCCUUGAACUGUAUUUAAAUCAAGUCACUUCUCUACAUUUUUCACCUGAAUAAAGAGCAUUUUUCUGUUAUGUUAAGGUUUGUAGGUGACGUCCUUUAAUGUUACUAUUAUUGUAAUUAUUUAAAAAAACACAACAAUAAAACAGUAAGUAUGA